UCAUUUAAGCGCCUGGACUUUUACAGUUGACGAGGACAGUAGUGAUCGAAAAAUUCGGCGGAUGCUACUGCGGACAUGUGAUUCGUUAGAUAUAUAGCAAAAAGUAAAAUCAAGAUUAUAACAAAGGAUAU
Molecule: non-coding RNA, 131 nt
Filed under: chicken gut metagenome
Description: glmS glucosamine-6-phosphate activated ribozyme
Rfam family: glmS glucosamine-6-phosphate activated ribozyme aptamer
About the family: This entry contains a glucosamine-6-phosphate activated ribozyme that is found in the mRNA for GlmS. GlmS is an enzyme that uses fructose-6-phosphate and glutamine to generate glucosamine-6-phosphate.
Source: RNAcentral